UUCAUUAAAACGCCUUUAUAUAUUACCUAGAGAAGUACAGAGCUACAUUAACUACAUGCAAGUAGACCUCAUUUCGAUUCAAAAAAAUGGAAUGUCUUCUAUUAUAGGAGAAGACAUCUGAAUUGGGCUCCCAUUUUUGUGAAAUAAUCCCAAUCAAAUUGCAAAUUCUCCUGUUUUUGCAGACUCCUCCAACUACAGCUACAACUAUACGACCACAACGCCGCUGCUCGCAUCAUAAUUGCCAUACACUUUCAAAGUUUCUAUUCCCCAGCAAAGUGUAUCUCAGUUAGUGAUCCUCUCUCAUCGUUUAAACCAUAACUUGCGUCACUCCAAAUUCGCUUUGGAUUAUUCCAACUAAAGCCUUUACUUUAAAAAAAAAAAUGAAUAAAAAGGUGUGCAGAUGAUAAUGCAGUACUCUUUUCAGAAUGCUGGUCGCCAAGUAUAAUGUCGUGUCCUUCAUAAAGUUUCCAGCUUUGGAUCCCAAUUUUUUUCUUUGCUUCUCAGUGGAUCAGGAAGAGUGCAAUUUCAAAAAAGUCGGUUCACCCACUUCAUAACAAUGUUUUACUGAAUUCCACAGGCUGGGUUCGUAAAAGAGCAUAUGACGCUUGCAAAAAAAAAUAUGCCCAUUUCCAACUUUUGCUAAUUGCGUAUGAUGACAAACAAAAAGAAGUAAAGAGGCGCGAUGGUAGAACUGGGGAGCUUUCAAAUCAAGUUUACUGCAUUCAGAAGCGUGUAUUGCUUUAGUAGCUUUAACUUUGUUCCCACAAAAUAACCUUUCAGAGCAUGCUUGCACAUGCUUGUGCCUUUCCCUUGCUCACCGGCACAACACUCCUUUCUCCCAAAAAGUAGAGCACAUGAUUAAUUUCGUUUCUGAUCGAGCUCCAGCAUUCAUUGUGGCCUGAAUCAAGUAGUUGAAGAUAAAUGUAGCCUCCUCAUCCUCGAGGGAUUGGAUUCAGAAUUGUAAAAAGAAAACCCCACCAGCUAGUGCUAUCAUAUUUUUAUUGUUGAAGAAGCCCAUCGUGAUCGCGUUGGAAAUGGAAGCCACCAAUAACAAAAGGGAAGAAGAGCACCCAUGGCGUAGUGGAUGGGAUAGUGGGAAUAACAAUAAUGGCCGUACGGCCUCCCUCUGCUUUCAUUUGGAAUGCCAUACAAGUAAUUUGGCUCAUAAACUAUGAUUACAACUUAAAUGGCUAGCUUUUCAUCCUCCAAAGUAGUAAGAUUCAUGGACGGGGACUCAGAGUAGGGCCAAUCAGGGCUCGGGCAUCAACCUUCCGGAAAGAAAUGUGGGUGAAGUGAAAGGUCCUAGCACGAUAGAGUAUCAAUAGAUUUGACCAAAGAGUGCUGUGGUUUCGAGUAGAAAUGUGAUCAUAUCAUAUCCAAAAAA
This is a long non-coding RNA of Cucurbita maxima (winter squash), 1384 nucleotides long. RefSeq lists it as uncharacterized. NCBI's taxonomy places the organism in Eukaryota, Viridiplantae, Streptophyta, Magnoliopsida, Cucurbitales, Cucurbitaceae. The transcript has 2 exons. The record is from RefSeq and is a predicted model, not a curated record.